Molecule: ribosomal RNA, 561 nt
Filed under: uncultured bacterium
Lineage: Bacteria
Description: partial 16S ribosomal RNA
Rfam family: Bacterial small subunit ribosomal RNA
Source: RNAcentral
UGGGGAAUCUUGCGCAAUGGGCGAAAGCCUGACGCAGCCAUGCCGCGUGAAUGACGAAGGUCUUAGGAUUGUAAAAUUCUUUCACCGGGGACGAUAAUGACGGUACCCGGAGAAGAAGCCCCGGCUAACUUCGUGCCAGCAGCCGCGGUAAUACGAAGGGGGCUAGCGCUGCUCGGAAUUACUGGGCGUAAAGGGAGCGUAGGCGGACAUUUAAGUCAGGGGUGAAAUCCCGGGGCUCAACCUCGGAAUUGCCUUUGAUACUGGGUGUCUUGAGUAUGAGAGAGGUGUGUGGAACUCCGAGUGUAGAGGUGAAAUUCGUAGAUAUUCGGAAGAACACCAGUGGCGAAGGCGACACACUGGCUCAUUACUGACGCUGAGGCUCGAAAGCGUGGGGAGCAAACAGGAUUAGAUACCCUGGUAGCCCACGCCGUAAACGAUGAUUGCUAGUUGUCGGGAUGCAUGCAUUUCGGUGACGCAGCUAACGCAUUAAGCAAUCCGCCUGGGGAGUACGGUCGCAAGAUUAAAACUCAAAUGAAUUGACGGGGUCAUAGCUGUUUCCUG